This 433-nucleotide ribosomal RNA is filed under the name uncultured bacterium. RNAcentral describes it as "partial 16S ribosomal RNA". It matches the Rfam family "Bacterial small subunit ribosomal RNA", at positions 29 to 507 of the family's 1533-position model. The record is from RNAcentral.
AACGAACGCUGGCGGCAUGCCUAACACAUGCAAGUCGAACGAGACCUUCGGGUCUAGUGGCGCACGGGUGCGUAACGCGUGGGAACCUGCCCUUAGGUUCGGAAUAACUCCCCGACAGGGGUGCUAAUACCGGAUAAUGUCUUCGGACCAAAGAUUUAUCGCCUUUGGAUGGGCCCGCGUUGGAUUAGCUAGUUGGUAGGGUAAAAGCCUACCAAGGCGACGAUCCAUAGCUGGUCUGAGAGGAUGAUCAGCCACACUGGGACUGAGACACGGCCCAGACUCCUACGGGAAGCAGCAGUGGGGAAUAUUGGACAAUGGGCGAAAGCCUGAUCCAGCAAUGCCGCGUGAGUGAUGAAGGCCUUAGGGUUGUAAAGCUCUUUUACCCGGGAUGAUAAUGACAGUACCGGGAGAAUAAGCGCCGGCUAACUCCGUG